UAACACAUGCAAGUCGAGCGAGAAAGCUCUCUUCGGAGAGUGAGUAGAGCGGCGCACGGGUGAGUAACGCGUGGAUGAUCUACCCUGAAGAUCGGGAUAACAGUUGGAAACGACUGCUAAUACCGUAUAUCCUGCAUAUUUAACUUUAUGUGGUAAAGAUGGUCUCUAUUUAUAAGCUAUCGCUUUGGGAUGAGUCCGCGUCUCAUUAGAUAGUUGGUGGGGUAAUGGCCUACCAAGUCUACGAUGAGUAGCAGGUCUGAGAGGAUGAUCUGCCACACUGGGACUGAAACACGGUCCAGACUCCUACGGGAGGCAGCAGUGGGGAAUAUUGCGCAAUGGGGGAAACC
Molecule: ribosomal RNA, 347 nt
Filed under: Desulfovibrionaceae bacterium enrichment culture clone MS_NAP_O3
Lineage: Bacteria; Pseudomonadati; Thermodesulfobacteriota; Desulfovibrionia; Desulfovibrionales; Desulfovibrionaceae
Description: bacterial SSU rRNA
Rfam family: Bacterial small subunit ribosomal RNA
Source: RNAcentral